Molecule: ribosomal RNA, 494 nt
Filed under: uncultured bacterium
Lineage: Bacteria
Description: partial 16S ribosomal RNA
Rfam family: Bacterial small subunit ribosomal RNA
Source: RNAcentral
GACGAACGCUGGCGGCGUGCUUGACACAUGCAAGUCGAACGGAAAGGCCUGCUUUCCCUUGUGGAUUGCGGGUACUCGAGUGGCGAACGGGUGAGUAACACGUGAGUGAUCUGCCCCCAACUUGGGUAUAAGCCUGGGAAACUGGGUCUAAUUCCCGAUAGGACUGCAGGGUGGUGCCCGUGGUGGAAAACGAUUUUCUAGUGGUUGGGGAUGAGCUCGCGGCCUAUCAGCUUGUUGGUGGGGUAAUGGCCUACCAAGGCGGCGACGGGUAGCCGGCCUGAGAGGGUGGACGGCCACAUUGGGACUGAGAUACGGCCCAGACUCCUACGGGAGGCAGCAGUGGGGAAUAUUGCACAAUGGGCGGAAGCCUGAUGCAGCGACGCCGCGUGGGGGAUGACGGCCUUCGGGUUGUAAACUCCUUUCGACCGCGAGGAAGCCACCUGGUUGGAAGGGUGGUGACGGUAGUGGUAGAAGAAGCACCGGCUAACUACGUG